RNAcentral lists this ribosomal RNA (497 nucleotides) under Escherichia coli. RNAcentral's name for it is "bacterial SSU rRNA". It matches the Rfam family "Bacterial small subunit ribosomal RNA", at positions 1035 to 1532 of the family's 1533-position model. RNAcentral also lists the same sequence under 1 other name. The record is from RNAcentral. Lineage: Bacteria; Pseudomonadati; Pseudomonadota; Gammaproteobacteria; Enterobacterales; Enterobacteriaceae.
CAGGUGCUGCAUGGCUGUCGUCAGCUCGUGUUGUGAAAUGUUGGGUUAAGUCCCGCAACGAGCGCAACCCUUAUCCUUUGUUGCCAGCGGUCCGGCCGGGAACUCAAAGGAGACUGCCAGUGAUAAACUGGAGGAAGGUGGGGAUGACGUCAAGUCAUCAUGGCCCUUACGACCAGGGCUACACACGUGCUACAAUGGCGCAUACAAAGAGAAGCGACCUCGCGAGAGCAAGCGGACCUCAUAAAGUGCGUCGUAGUCCGGAUUGGAGUCUGCAACUCGACUCCAUGAAGUCGGAAUCGCUAGUAAUCGUGGAUCAGAAUGCCACGGUGAAUACGUUCCCGGGCCUUGUACACACCGCCCGUCACACCAUGGGAGUGGGUUGCAAAAGAAGUAGGUAGCUUAACCUUCGGGAGGGCGCUUACCACUUUGUGAUUCAUGACUGGGGUGAAGUCGUAACAAGGUAACCGUAGGGGAACCUGCGGUUGGAUCACCUCCUU